UGGUACCCACCCUCCUCAGGUUUCAUCACGUGGUGCUGCCGUUGCCCAGAAACCAUCUGUUCAUUGCUAGACUUCUCAGUGUUUGAGCUUCAGGUGAGGGUCCAGAGAGGAGUGAGCCUGGACAGUGGCCGCCCCUCAGGUGAGGGUCCAGAGAGGGGUGAGCCUGGACGGUGGCCGCCCCUCAGGUGAGGGUCCAGGGAGGAGUGAGCCUGGACAGUGGCCACUGAGCUCUCUCCCGCUUCCAUCAGCAGCCCU
Molecule: long non-coding RNA, 255 nt
Organism: Acomys russatus (golden spiny mouse)
Lineage: Eukaryota; Metazoa; Chordata; Mammalia; Rodentia; Muridae
Exons: 3
Source: RefSeq, a predicted model, not a curated record